CCUACGGGAGGCUGCAGUGGGGAAUAUUGGACAAUGGGCGAAAGCCUGAUCCAGCCAUGCCGCGUGUGUGAAGAAGGCCUUCGGGUUGUAAAGCACUUUCAGUGGGGAAGAAAGCCUUGGGGCUAAUACCCUCGAGGAAGGACAUCACCCACAGAAGAAGCACCGGCUAACUCCGUGCCAGCAGCCGCGGUAAUACGGAGGGUGCGAGCGUUAAUCGGAAUUACUGGGCGUAAAGCGCGCGUAGGCGGUCUGAUAAGCCGGUUGUGAAAGCCCCGGGCUCAACCUGGGAACGGCAUCCGGAACUGUCAGGCUAGAGUGCAGGAGAGGAAGGUAGAAUUCCCGGCGUAGCGGUGAAAUGCGUAGAGAUCGGGAGGAAUACCAGUGGCGAAGGCGGCCUUCUGGACUGACACUGACGCUGAGGUGCGAAAGCGUGGGUAGCAAACAGGAUUAGAUACCCCAGUAGUC
RNAcentral lists this ribosomal RNA (465 nucleotides) under Vreelandella stevensii. Its description in RNAcentral is "partial 16S ribosomal RNA". It matches the Rfam family "Bacterial small subunit ribosomal RNA", at positions 338 to 795 of the family's 1533-position model. The record is from RNAcentral. Lineage: Bacteria; Pseudomonadati; Pseudomonadota; Gammaproteobacteria; Oceanospirillales; Halomonadaceae.